UCUACAGCAGUGGCAGCAUGGUUCUAUUUUUAUCGCUUGUCACUAUGCCAGCCACUGUCGCACUUAUGUACUUGUUAGAACGUGAUAGGCAUGGUGACAAAUGAUAAAGAGCCAACCAUCUUAGCUCUACAGGUCAUGGUCACGAACUGAUAACACUAGAGUCUAUUAUCGUUUGAAUCCCUGAUCUUGAUUGUAUUAUUACAGGUGAAUGUACUUGACAUUCUCGUUUGAAUAGGUACAAUAGUCAUUACCCUCCUUGUUAUGUAUUGAAAUGUAACACUUAAGUAAUAACUUAUGUAACUGCCUAAAUAAUACAAGUUGGGCGGAUUUGUAGGCGUAUAAUUGUGACGUUGGCGGAACAUUCAAAGGCUAUAGUUAUUGGGAUUAUUAUGAUUUAUUUUUAACAUUAUCUUUAAUGGACACUGUAGAUGUAAAAAACUUUCUUAGUAUUAUAUAAUUUUACGUCUUUCCUGUGGCUAUCAUGGAGCAAACGGACUUAAAUGACAAAUGUUCGUACUAUUGCCUUAUAAUCAUGGAAAACAAUCUACUUCAUAAAAUUAGUAUGAUAAAAUUCCUAGAAAAAUAAAUCCAAAAAUGUUUUUUUUUUCAGGUAAGCCGUUGCUGAAACACCUAACACCUUACCUAUUAACAUGGCAUGAAAUUUUGUGUAUGUAUGUAUUUACCGGCCAGUCUAGCUUCUGCAGGAAAUGGUUUAAAUUACACGGACAUGGAGAUGACCGUGGGUCUUAUUAGGUUCAAUGAUAUUAUGUAAUUAUAACACGUACAUAUAACUGUAGAUAGGUUAUACUGGAGCACAAAAAAUACUUCAAUAUUUAUUUCAUUACCUUCGAAUAAAUCUGUUUUUAUUGAUGAA
Molecule: long non-coding RNA, 874 nt
Organism: Cydia pomonella (codling moth)
Lineage: Eukaryota; Metazoa; Arthropoda; Insecta; Lepidoptera; Tortricidae
Exons: 2
Source: RefSeq, a predicted model, not a curated record